GUGCCAGCAGCCGCGGUAAUACGUAGGGUGCGAGCGUUGUCCGGAAUUAUUGGGCGUAAAGAGCUCGUCUCUCUGUUUGUCGCGUCUGCUGUGAAAACCCGGGGCUUAACCCCGGGCCUGCGGUCGAUACGGGCAGACUAGAGUUCGGCAGGGGAGACUGGAAUUCCUGGUGUAGCGGUGAAAUGCGCAGAUAUCAGGAGGAACACCGGUGGCGAAGGCGGGUCUCUGGGACGUUACUGACGCUGAGGAGCGAAAGCGUGGGGAGCGAACAGGAUUAGAUACCCUGGUAGUCCACGCCGUAAACGUUGGGCACUAGGUGUGGGAUUCAUUCCACGGGGUCCGUGCCGUAGCUAACGCAUUAAGUGCCCCGCCUGGGGAGUACGGCCGCAAGGCUAAAACUCAAGGAAAU
Molecule: ribosomal RNA, 409 nt
Filed under: uncultured bacterium
Lineage: Bacteria
Description: bacterial SSU rRNA
Rfam family: Bacterial small subunit ribosomal RNA
Source: RNAcentral